This 539-nucleotide ribosomal RNA is filed under the name uncultured bacterium. Its description in RNAcentral is "bacterial SSU rRNA". It matches the Rfam family "Bacterial small subunit ribosomal RNA", at positions 347 to 884 of the family's 1533-position model. The record is from RNAcentral.
AGCAGCAGUGAGAAUUUGCGCAAUGGGGAACCCUGACGCAGCAACGCCGCGUGAGUGAAGAAGGCUUUCGGGUCGUAAAACUCUGUCAAGUGGGAAGAACCUGUUUCGUGCCAAUACCACGGGACAUUGACGGUACCACUGAAGGAAGCACCGGCUAACUCCGUGCCAGCAGCCGCGGUAAUACGGAGGGUGCAAGCGUUAUUCGGAAUUACUGGGCGUAAAGGGCGCGCAGGCGGUCCCUUAAGUCAGGCGUGAAGCCCGGGGCUAAACCCCGGAAGUGCGUCCGAAACUAAGGGACUCGAGUACGGGAGAGGGAAGUGGAAUUCCUGGUGUAGAGGUGAAAUUCGUAGAUAUCAGGAGGAACACCGGUGGCGAAGGCGACUUCCUGGACCGAUACUGACGCUGAGGCGCGAAAGCGUGGGGAGCAAACAGGAUUAGAGACCCUGGUAGUCCACGCCGUAAACGAUGAACACUAGGUGUAGCGGGUAUUGACUCCUGCUGUGCCGCAGCAACGCAUUAAGUGUCCGCCUGGGACUACG